GGUUAUGGGGUGGAGCUCCUUCAAGUCCAAUAUUGGUUCUUUCUGGUUAGAUAGAGCUGCUGAAUUAUGGAUUCCACAGCCCUAUAUCAUGCUUGGAGGGAUUUGGAUAGGUUUGUGGUUUGCAUAUUUCAGGAGCUGCAUUAUCCAGAUGAGAACCUUGUUUGGAUUGAAGGGAGCUCUACAUCAUCAUCUC
Non-coding RNA from Nelumbo nucifera (sacred lotus), 193 nucleotides. NCBI's taxonomy places the organism in Eukaryota, Viridiplantae, Streptophyta, Magnoliopsida, Proteales, Nelumbonaceae. The record is from Rfam.